CCUACGGGAGGCUGCAGUGGGGGAUAUUGCACAAUGGGGGAAACCCUGAUGCAGCAACGCCGCGUGAGUGAAGAAGUAUUUCGGUAUGUAAAGCUCUAUCAGCAGGGAAGAGAAUGACGGUACCUGACUAAGAAGCCCCGGCUAACUACGUGCCAGCAGCCGCGGUAAUACGUAGGGGGCGAGCGUUAUCCGGAUUUACUGGGUGUAAAGGGAGCGUAGACGGCUGGUCAAGUCUGAAGUGAAAGCCCGGGGCUUAACCCCGGAACGGCUUUGGAAACUGAGCAGCUAGAGUGCAGGAGAGGUAAGCGGAAUUCCUAGUGUAGCGGUGAAAUGCGUAGAUAUUAGGAAGAACACCAGUGGCGAAGGCGGCUUACUGAACAGUAACUGACGUUGAGGCUCGAAAGCGUGGGGAGCAAACAGGAUUAGAUACCCGGGUAGUC
This 440-nucleotide ribosomal RNA is filed under the name uncultured bacterium. RNAcentral's name for it is "partial 16S ribosomal RNA". It matches the Rfam family "Bacterial small subunit ribosomal RNA", at positions 338 to 795 of the family's 1533-position model. The record is from RNAcentral.